This 253-nucleotide ribosomal RNA is filed under the name uncultured bacterium. RNAcentral describes it as "partial 16S ribosomal RNA". It matches the Rfam family "Bacterial small subunit ribosomal RNA", at positions 524 to 776 of the family's 1533-position model. The record is from RNAcentral.
UACGUAGGGUGCGAGCGUUGUCCGGAAUUACUGGGCGUAAAGAGCUCGUAGGUGGUUUGUCGCGUUGUUCGUGAAAACUCACAGCUUAACUGUGGGCGUGCGGGCGAUACGGGCAGACUGGAGUACUGCAGGGGAGACUGGAAUUCCAGGUGUAGCGGUGGAAUGCGUAGAUAUCUGGAAGAACACCGGUGGCGAAGGCGGUGGUCUGGGCCUGAACUGACGCUGAGGAGCGAAAGCCAGGGGAGCAAACGGG